This 275-nucleotide ribosomal RNA is filed under the name uncultured bacterium. Its description in RNAcentral is "partial 16S ribosomal RNA". It matches the Rfam family "Bacterial small subunit ribosomal RNA", at positions 399 to 691 of the family's 1533-position model. The record is from RNAcentral.
GCGUGAGUGACGAAGGCCUUAGGGUUGUAAAACUCUUUCGCCGGGGACGAUAAUGACGGUACCCGGAGAAGAAGCUCCGGCUAACUUCGUGCCAGCAGCCGCGGUAAUACGAAGGGGGCUAGCGUUGUUCGGAUUUACUGGGCGUAAAGCGCAUGUAGGCGGGCUGUUAAGUUGGGGGUGAAAGCCCGGAGCUCAACUCCGGAAUUGCCUUCAAAACUGGCAGCCUGGAGCAAGAUAGAGGCGAGUGGAAUUCCGAGUGUAGAGGUGAAAUUCGU